CCUUACCUACCAAUAUGGCUAGCUUUACUCUGGCCCUCAGCAAACAGAAAAGUGGGACGCAAAACUGAGCCCCGCGGGCUACAGAAGGCUGCGCUUACCUUUUCUGACUCUGGGAUGGGAGGAAGACACCCCGGGCUACGUGGAGUUUAAAACUCCAAUAUAAGGAAUCUGAUUGGGCUCUGGCUGCCUGCUCUGCGGACAGAAAAAGCCCAGCAGAGCAGGAAAGUGUGGUCUUAUCCUCAAGGAAGGGCAUGAGCUGGGAGGUCACCCACAUUAUUACCUUCACAUCAGUUGUCACACCUAAUAGCAAAGGUGACUGGAAAUACAGUCUUUCUUCUGAGCAGCCACAUGCACAGCAAACGUGGGAGUGAAAAAGGAGGCACGGUGAUGGAGUGCGUGGGU
This 402-nucleotide long non-coding RNA is filed under the name Mus spicilegus (steppe mouse). Its description in RNAcentral is "lncRNA (ENSMSIG00000030977.1)". The record is from RNAcentral. Lineage: Eukaryota; Metazoa; Chordata; Mammalia; Rodentia; Muridae.